RNAcentral lists this ribosomal RNA (253 nucleotides) under uncultured bacterium. Its description in RNAcentral is "partial 16S ribosomal RNA". It matches the Rfam family "Bacterial small subunit ribosomal RNA", at positions 524 to 776 of the family's 1533-position model. The record is from RNAcentral.
UACGUAGGGGGCAAGCGUUGUCCGGAAUCAUUGGGCGUAAAGAGCGUGUAGGCGGUUCGGUAAGUCGGCUGUGAAAGUCCAGGGCUCAACCCUGGGAUGCCGGUCGAUACUGCCGGACUAGAGUUCGGAAGAGGCGAGUGGAAUUCCCGGUGUAGCAGUGAAAUGCGUAGAGAUCGGGAGGAACACCAGUGGCGAAGGCGACUAUCUGGACCAGCACUGACACUGAGGCACGAAAGCGUGGGGAGCAAACAGG